This 253-nucleotide ribosomal RNA is filed under the name uncultured bacterium. Its description in RNAcentral is "partial 16S ribosomal RNA". It matches the Rfam family "Bacterial small subunit ribosomal RNA", at positions 524 to 776 of the family's 1533-position model. The record is from RNAcentral.
UACGUAGGGUGCAGGCGUUAAUCGGAAUUACUGGGCGUAAAGCGUGCGCAGGCGGUUUGCUAAGACAGGUGUGAAAUCCCCGGGCUUAACCUGGGAACUGCGCUUGUUACUGGCAGGCUUGAGUGUGGCAGAGGGGGGUGGAAUUCCACGUGUAGCAGUGAAAUGCGCAGAUAUCAGGAGGAACACCGGUGGCGAAGGCGGAUCUCUGGGCCUUACCUGACGCUCAGGCACGAAAGCUAGGGGAGCGAACAGG